UGUGUAACAAUGUCCUUUGUCUCUGACCCAGGCAUCUCUUGUCUUCUUCCAGAAACCAUGACACUAUGGCAGGCCAACUUAUUAGCUUUCAAGUAAGGUAACAUCUCAGACCAUCACAGGUUUUGAUAGAGGAAACUCUGAAGGACCACAGGAGUUGGAGGUUCCACGUAUCUCUAAGUAGUAACAUACAAUGGGUCAAAAACAGAAGAAAGAGAACUCAAGAUUCCCAAGCCACAGAGCUGUUGAUUGGAGGCUGACUCAGAGAGACCCUGGAUUCUGUGACAUACAGAGACAACAGGUACAGGAUCAGUUUGGGUUUUAAUUGACGGGCUCAGCACCAAAUGACAGACUUGACACAUCCACCCCCACCAUGGAUGCUGUCCGUCCACUGUUGCACAAUGUCCUUCAGUGUCUAAUUUACAGAUCCAGCUGUAUUUCCCCUUCCACCUGCAUCCCUGAAGUUCCUCCCACCUGAAAACUUCACCUGACCCAAGAAAGCAAAGGAAAAAACCCAGAGAGCCAGCUCAUGGUCUGGUUCACUGUUUAACAGCCAGGAGCCAGAGCCUGCGUACUAGAAGUGGAUGCCCAGGAAGUACUUGUGAGCUGACUAAGAGUGUAAGAACGCCACCCACUUCAUUUAGGAAAGUGAAGCAGGAUUCCAUGCAGUGUGAAUGAGUGCACAUGGAACAAGCAGGUUAUCAUUUAUAUUCAGCAAGGGACCUCCAUGGACAGGACAUUUGGAGAGCUGCUAUCAAACAUCAGAACUUCUGACACUGUACACACAGUCUUAUAUUCUGCCUUGUCUGUUGUGAUAUCUCACUACAGUAAUGAUUAUGAUGAUGAGCACUUAUGCGUUGAUAUUGCAAUACGUCUGCAUAAGAACCAUUCCUAAGGCAGGUUAUAUUAUUACCCUCAGUGUACAGGUAAAGAGGUUAGACUGAUAACUUACCCGGUGUCACAUAGGUACUAA
Molecule: non-coding RNA, 970 nt
Filed under: Pongo abelii (Sumatran orangutan)
Lineage: Eukaryota; Metazoa; Chordata; Mammalia; Primates; Hominidae
Source: RNAcentral